RNAcentral lists this ribosomal RNA (497 nucleotides) under uncultured bacterium. RNAcentral's name for it is "partial 16S ribosomal RNA". It matches the Rfam family "Bacterial small subunit ribosomal RNA", at positions 28 to 507 of the family's 1533-position model. The record is from RNAcentral.
GAUGAACGCUGGCGGUGUGCCUAAUACAUGCAAGUCGAGCGAACGGACGAUAAGCUUGCUUCUCUGAUGUUAGCGGCGGACGGGUGAGUAACACGUGGAUAACCUACCUAUAAGACUUGGAUAACUUCGUGAAACCGCUGCUAAUACCGGAUAAUAUGUUGAACCGCAUGGUUCAAAAGUUAAAGACGGUCUUCCUGUCACUUAGAGAUGGAGCCGCGCUGCAUUAGCUAGUUGGUAAGGUAACGGCUUACCAAGGCAACGAUGCAUAGCCGACCUGAGAGGGUGAUCAGCCACACUGGAACUGAGACACGGUCCAGACUCCUACGGGAGGCAGCAGUAGGGAAUCUUCCGCAAUGGGCGAAAGCCUGACGGAGCAAUGCCGCGUGAGUGAUGAAGGUCUUCGGAUCGUAAAACUCUGUUAUUAGGGAAGAACAUAUGUGUAAGUAACUGUGGACAUCUUGACGGUACCUAAUCAGAAAGCCACGGCUAACUACGUG